RNAcentral lists this ribosomal RNA (72 nucleotides) under Shewanella algae. Its description in RNAcentral is "partial 23S ribosomal RNA". Lineage: Bacteria; Pseudomonadati; Pseudomonadota; Gammaproteobacteria; Alteromonadales; Shewanellaceae. The record is from RNAcentral.
GUUGUAUGGUUAAGCGACCAAGCGUAUACGGUGGAUGCCUUGGCAGUCAGAGGCGAUGAAGGACGUAGUAAC